CCUACGGGUGGCAGCAGUGAGGAAUAUUGGUCAAUGGGCGAGAGCCUGAACCAGCCAAGUCGCGUGAGGGAUGACUGCCCUAUGGGUUGUAAACUUCUUUUAUCUGGGAGUAACGUGUUCCACGUGUAGCCUUUUGUAUGUACCAUAUGAAUAAGCAUCGGCUAACUCCGUGCCAGGCGCCGCGGUAAUACGGAGGAUUCGAGCGUUAUCCGGAUUUAUUGGGUUUAAAGGGAGCGUAGGUGGGUAGGUCAGUCAGGGGGGAAAGUGUGGGGCUCAACCAUAACAGUGCAGUUGAAACUGGCAGUCUUGAGUAGGGUAGAGGUAGGCGGAAUGCGUGGUGUAGCGGUGAAAUGCUUAGAUAUCACGAAGAACUCCGAUUGCGAAGGCAGCGUACUG
This 396-nucleotide ribosomal RNA is filed under the name uncultured bacterium. Its description in RNAcentral is "partial 16S ribosomal RNA". It matches the Rfam family "Bacterial small subunit ribosomal RNA", at positions 338 to 731 of the family's 1533-position model. The record is from RNAcentral.